GAUGAAGAACGUAGCGAAAUGCGAUACGUAAUGUGAAUGGCAGAAUUCAGUGAAUCAUCGAGUCUUUGAACGCACAUUGCGCCCCCUGGUAUUCCGGGGGGCAUGCCUGUCCGAGCGUCAUUGCUGCCCUCAAGCACGGCUUGUGUGUUGGGCCUCCGUCCUCCUCCCGGGGGACGGGCCCGAAAGGCAGCGGCGGCACCGCGUCCGGUCCUCGAGCGUAUGGGGCUUCGUCACCCGCUCUUGUAGGCCCGGCCGGCGCUUGCCGACACAUCAAUCUUUUUUCCAGGUUGACCUCGGAUCAGGUAGGGCUACCCGCUGAACUUAAGCAUAUCAAUAAGCGGAGGA
This 345-nucleotide unclassified non-coding RNA is filed under the name soil metagenome. RNAcentral's name for it is "partial contains 5.8S ribosomal RNA, internal transcribed spacer 2, and large subunit ribosomal RNA". The stretch from base 1 to 120 matches the Rfam family "5.8S ribosomal RNA", at positions 35 to 154 of the family's 154-position model. The record is from RNAcentral.